Molecule: ribosomal RNA, 496 nt
Filed under: uncultured bacterium
Lineage: Bacteria
Description: partial 16S ribosomal RNA
Rfam family: Bacterial small subunit ribosomal RNA
Source: RNAcentral
GAUGAACGCUGGCGGCGUGCCUAAUACAUGCAAGUCGAGCGAACAGAUGAGGAGCUUGCUCCUCUGACGUUAGCGGCGGACGGGUGAGUAACACGUGGAUAACCUACCUAUAAGACUGGGAUAACUUCGGGAAACCGGAGCUAAUACCGGAUAAUAUAUUGAACCGCAUGGUUCAAUAGUGAAAGACGGUUUUGCUGUCACUUAUAGAUGGAUCCGCGCCGCAUUAGCUAGUUGGUAAGGUAACGGCUUACCAAGGCAACGAUGCGUAGCCGACCUGAGAGGGUGAUCGGCCACACUGGAACUGAGACACGGUCCAGACUCCUACGGGAGGCAGCAGUAGGGAAUCUUCCGCAAUGGGCGAAAGCCUGACGGAGCAACGCCGCGGGAGUGAUGAAGGGCUUCGGAUCGUAAAACUCUGUUAUUAGGGAAGAACAAAUGUGUAAGUAACUAUGCACGUCUUGACGGUACCUAAGCAGAAAGCCACGGCUAACUACGU